This 450-nucleotide ribosomal RNA is filed under the name uncultured bacterium. Its description in RNAcentral is "bacterial SSU rRNA". It matches the Rfam family "Bacterial small subunit ribosomal RNA", at positions 355 to 796 of the family's 1533-position model. The record is from RNAcentral.
UCGAGGAUCUUUCGCAAUGGGCGCAAGCCUGACGAAGCGACGCCGUGUGAGUGAAGAAGGCCUUCGGGUUGUAAAACUCUUUCGCUUGGGAACAAGAAAAGCGAAUUAAUAAUUCGCUAAUUUGAGGGUACCAGGUAAAGAAGCACCGGCUAACUCCGUGCCAGCAGCUGCGGUAAUACGGAGGGUGCAAGCAUUAAUCGGAUUUAUUGGGCGUAAAGGGCGCGUAGAUGGUUUGGAAAGUCAGAUGUGAAAUUCCGGGGCUCAACCUCGGAGCGGCAUCUGAAACUCCCAUGACUAGAGGAUAGGUGGGGAAAACGGAAUUCCACAUGUAGCGGUGAAAUGCGUAGAUAUGUGGAAGAACACCGGUGGCGAAGGCGGUUUUCUAACCUACACCUGACAUUGAGGCGCGAAAGCGUGGGGAGCAAACAGGAUUAGAUACCCCCGUAGUCC